RNAcentral lists this ribosomal RNA (411 nucleotides) under uncultured bacterium. Its description in RNAcentral is "bacterial SSU rRNA". It matches the Rfam family "Bacterial small subunit ribosomal RNA", at positions 505 to 916 of the family's 1533-position model. The record is from RNAcentral.
GUGUCAGCCGCCGCGGUAAGGCGAAGGGGGCUAGCGUUGUUCGGAAUUACUGGGCGUAAAGCGAGUGUAGGUGGUUGUUCAAGUUGGAUGUGGAAGCCUUGAGCUCAACUCAAGAAAUGCAUUCAGGACUGAGCGACUAGAGGACCGGAGAGGAUAGUGGAAUUCCCAGUGUAGUGGUGAAAUACGUAGAGAUUGGGAAGAACACCAGUGGCGAAGGCGGCUAUCUGGACGGUUUCUGACACUAAGACUCGAAAGCGUGGGGAGCAAACAGGAUUAGAUACCCUGGUAGUCCACGCCGUAAACGAUGGGUGCUAGACGUUGGCGAGCUUGCUCGUCAGUGUCGCAGCUAACGCGUUAAGCACCCCGCCUGGGGAGUACGGCCGCAAGGUUGAAACUCAAAUGAAUUGACGG